ACCCAGAUGGUGAGUCCCAAAUAGGACGAAAUGCGCAUCCUGGAU
RNAcentral lists this non-coding RNA (45 nucleotides) under Trichobilharzia regenti. Lineage: Eukaryota; Metazoa; Platyhelminthes; Trematoda; Strigeidida; Schistosomatidae. The record is from RNAcentral.